RNAcentral lists this ribosomal RNA (497 nucleotides) under uncultured bacterium. Its description in RNAcentral is "partial 16S ribosomal RNA". It matches the Rfam family "Bacterial small subunit ribosomal RNA", at positions 28 to 507 of the family's 1533-position model. The record is from RNAcentral.
GAUGAACGCUGGCGGCGUGCCUAAUACAUGCAAGUCGAGCGAACAGAUGAGUAGCUUGCUCCUCUGACGUUAGCGGCGGACGGGUGAGUAACAAGUGGAUAACCUAUCUAUAAGACUGGGAUAACUUCGGGAAACCUGAGCUAAUACCGGAUAAUAUAUUUAACCGCAUGGUUCAAUAGUGAAAGAUGGUUUUGCUGUCACUUAUAGAUGGAUCCGCGCCGCAUUAGCUAGUUGGUAAGGUAACGGCUUACCAAGGCAACGAUGCGUAGCCGACCUGAGAGACGGAUCGGCCAUACUGGAACUUGGACACGGUCCAGACUCCUACGGGAGGCAGCAGUAGGGAAUGUUCCGCAAUGGUCGAAAGCCUGACGGAGCAACGCCGCGUGAGUGAUGAAGGUCUUCGGAUCGUAAAACUCUGUUAUUAGGGAAGAACAAAUGUGUAAGUAACUAUGCACGUCUUGACGGUACCUAAACAGAAAGCCACGGCUAACUACGUG